AACGAACGCUGGCGGCAGGCUUAACACAUGCAAGUCGAGCGCCCCGCAAGGGGAGCGGCAGACGGGUGAGUAACGCGUGGGAAUCUACCCAACCCUGCGGAAUAGCUCCGGGAAACUGGAAUUAAUACCGCAUACGCCCUACGGGGGAAAGAUUUAUCGGGGAUGGAUGAGCCCGCGUUGGAUUAGCUAGUUGGUGGGGU
This 200-nucleotide ribosomal RNA is filed under the name uncultured bacterium. RNAcentral describes it as "partial 16S ribosomal RNA". It matches the Rfam family "Bacterial small subunit ribosomal RNA", at positions 29 to 258 of the family's 1533-position model. The record is from RNAcentral.